UUUUCCUUUGAUGAGUUCAGGGAGAACGGAUGUAAUCGUGCGAUACUUGCGGACCGCUUCCUUCAUGAGUUAGCGUUUAAGCUGUGGAAGGCACCCAAAUACGGAGCUUGAUUUCGCCAGUUAUUCAGUCAAAUUGGACGUUUGAUCAGUAAUCUUAACUUGCAUGGAGGAGCAUUUAGUAUCGUAAAAUAUUUUGGAGUUUGAACACUCAAUGCCUGAUGGUCAGGAAUAGAGUUCCUAAUAAAAUGCAACAAUCG
This 257-nucleotide unclassified non-coding RNA is filed under the name Hevea brasiliensis (rubber tree). The record is from RNAcentral. Lineage: Eukaryota; Viridiplantae; Streptophyta; Magnoliopsida; Malpighiales; Euphorbiaceae.